Molecule: long non-coding RNA, 586 nt
Filed under: Physcomitrium patens
Lineage: Eukaryota; Viridiplantae; Streptophyta; Bryopsida; Funariales; Funariaceae
Description: long non-coding RNA (PPAT_LNC011407)
Source: RNAcentral
CACAACGCUGCCGACACUCUGUUCCCUGUGAUUGCUUUGAAGCUGGGAUUCAUCAGGCUGCUGCUUGAUUCCGCCUUUCAUACAUCGACACCGGUGAUCUACACAUUCUCAAAACUUUCAUUCUGUGUCAAGUUCCAUGCAUUUUCGCCAUGGUGAUGGAUGCUAACUUUUAGAUCGAUCACAUCUACAGUUGGUCCUCGUUAUCCAAACAGGUCUAAAUGCUUCAAGUGUUUGAUAGAUUUGCAGAGGUCUCUUCAAGAGGAUUAGUUUUCACCCAUGUUACGAGAGAUAAAAAGGUGGAGGGAUUUCGAAAGAGAUUCAGAAGAGUUGUGUUCUUUGUUUUGUACUUUCAAGCUGUAAGAAUAAUGUGGAUGCCAUGAGAGAUGGAGUAAGAUUAUUGGAGCGUUUAUUACUGCUGUUACAUGGCAAACUGAACUAAUAUGAUUGCAGAUUUGAUUCGGUGGAUCACUGACAAAAUUGGGAUAAGACCUAAUAUGAGUAACUAUUACUUUUAUCCAUAAUAAUAUAAAUAGAGAUUUCACCACCCACACUGUACACACCUUGUGUACAACUUUAGAACCACAUA